This is a long non-coding RNA of Cucumis sativus (cucumber), 282 nucleotides long. RefSeq lists it as uncharacterized. Lineage: Eukaryota; Viridiplantae; Streptophyta; Magnoliopsida; Cucurbitales; Cucurbitaceae. The record is from RefSeq and is a predicted model, not a curated record. The transcript is spliced from 3 exons.
AAGGUAGCAUCGUGCUUCUUCUUCCAGCCGUGAUUCACAAACCGACGUACACUCUAAUCUGUUUGUACGAUCUUUGUCGUUUAGGCUCGAUCGCCGUUGCCGCUAUUUUGUUGUGUUGGAAGUAACGUUGAGUUCCUUGAAUUCACAACCAACUUGUAAUUUGUUGGAGUUCAGUUCGCUAAUACCUUGGUGUCUUUCAUUGGAUAUAGUUUGUUCGAGAAAUUGAGUUACCUUAAGGCAAAGGAAAUAAAGGUGGCAAACCGGCGAGGGGCAGGAAGGAAG